GCAGCGGCUGCCCCGUCAUUGUCCGGGCUCCCUGAGGGUGGGGAAGGGGCGCCCUGGGCUCAGGGGCCACCGCGGAACAACCGAGCGGACUGGGGAGGAAAGGGGCCUCCGAAGGCGGCUUUCCCUAGGAAGAACCCUGCCCAAGCACUUGGGUUGCAACCCGAAUCACCCGGGGAGAAGAAUCGUUGAACGGUCCAAGUCAGAAAUCCGGGAGGUCCAAGAAAACGGAGAGAGGAAAGAACACAAACUGUGGGGAUGUAUCUGAUUGCCAAAUCAUCUCAACCAGAAACUUGGCGAAGUUGUCCCAAAAGUCCACCUGUAAAAAGAUAUUUGAAUCCAGUAACUCCUGACAGACAUAUGUGGGUCUUGAUAUACAUGCAGGCUAAGGACCAUGUAUUCAGUAUAUGUUGUGCUGGAGACAGAUUUUGGCAAUGUGUAGUGAACAGCUGUGAAGGCUUCAAUGAAGGGAACUGAGAGCUCUUCACAAGCAUCAUCC
Pogona vitticeps (central bearded dragon) is the source of this 496-nucleotide non-coding RNA. The record is from RefSeq and is a predicted model, not a curated record. Lineage: Eukaryota; Metazoa; Chordata; Lepidosauria; Squamata; Agamidae.